UACAGAGGUCUCGAGCGUUGUUCGGAUUCAUUGGGCGUAAAGGGCGCGUAGGCGGCGGGGUAAGUCUGGUGUGAAAUCUCGGAGCUCAACUCCGAAAUUGCACUGGAUACUGCUCUGCUAGAGGGCUGGAGAGGAGAUCGGAAUUCACGGUGUAGCGGUGAAAUGCGUAGAUAUCUGCAGGAACACCCGUGGCGAAAGCGGCGCGCUGGACCACUACUGACGCUGAGGAACGAAAGCUAGGGGAGCAAACAGG
Molecule: ribosomal RNA, 253 nt
Filed under: uncultured bacterium
Lineage: Bacteria
Description: partial 16S ribosomal RNA
Rfam family: Bacterial small subunit ribosomal RNA
Source: RNAcentral